UACGAAGGGGGCUAGCGUUGUUCGGAAUUACUGGGCGUAAAGCGCAUGUAGGCGGAUCACUAAGUCAGGGGUGAAAUCCCGGAGCUCAACCUCGGAACUGCCUUUGAUACUGGCAAUCUCGAGUCCGGAAGAGGUGAGUGGAAUUCCUAGUGUGGAGGUGAAAUUCGUAGAUAUUAGGAAGAACACCAGUGGCGAAGGCGGCUUACUGGGUCGGUACUGACGCUGAGGUGCGAAAGCGUGGGGAGCAAACAGG
Molecule: ribosomal RNA, 253 nt
Filed under: uncultured bacterium
Lineage: Bacteria
Description: partial 16S ribosomal RNA
Rfam family: Bacterial small subunit ribosomal RNA
Source: RNAcentral